GAGGAUAUAGCUCAGUGGUAGAGUGUUUGACUAUAGCUCAAGUGGUCAUUGGUUCAAAUCCAAGUGCCCUUU
Non-coding RNA from Chrysemys picta bellii (western painted turtle), 72 nucleotides. The record is from the annotation of a RefSeq genome assembly. NCBI's taxonomy places the organism in Eukaryota, Metazoa, Chordata, Testudines, Emydidae.